UAUUGCGCAAUGGGCGGAAGCCUGACGCAGCGACGCCGCGUGGGGGAUGAAGGCCUUCGGGUUGUAAACCUCUUUCGGCAGGGACGAAGGUGACGUGUACCUGCGGAAGAAGCGCCGGCUAACUACGUGCCAGCAGCCGCGGUAAUACGUAGGGCGCGAGCGUUGUCCGGAAUUAUUGGGCGUAAAGAGCUCGUAGGCGGCUGGUCGCGUCUGCCGUGAAAGCCCGCGGCUUAACCGUGGGUCUGCGGUGGAUACGGGCCGGCUAGAGGCAGGCAGGGGCAAGUGGAAUUCCUGGUGUAGCGGUGAAAUGCGCAGAUAUCAGGAGGAACACCGGUGGCGAAGGCGGCUUGCUGGGCCUGUCCUGACGCUGAGGAGCGAAAGCGUGGGGAGCGAACAGG
This 398-nucleotide ribosomal RNA is filed under the name uncultured bacterium. RNAcentral's name for it is "bacterial SSU rRNA". It matches the Rfam family "Bacterial small subunit ribosomal RNA", at positions 362 to 776 of the family's 1533-position model. The record is from RNAcentral.